AACGGAAAAUUUUGGAAGAAGAAAAGGAAAACUCCUUCUCACUAGACUUCUAGAGUGAGAACUCCAUUUCCCAACCACUCACCAUCCUUCGCUACCAAUGGAAAACAUGCAAGCAACGGAUGACCAGCAAAUGACAGACGAAGAAAUGGACCAGUUAGAUCGUAGCACUCGCAAACCAAAAUCUUCACAGCCAAUAACACAACAAUCAUCUGUUGAGCAAGUAAGUUUUCGUGAUAAACUCUUUUCUCACCCAUCCCCUCUGCCUACUGAUUUUGACACGGACUUCCUUACCAAACUUAUACUAGAGGAUGAAAUAGAAAACAAAACAAACCACCCACACUUCAUCCCCAUAACUCAGAGUGACAAAUCUCGACUCUAUCGUCCUUGGAAUCAAGCUCUUAUUAUAAAAUUACUUGGCAAAAAAACCACUUACCAUCUUCUAAAACACAAAAUAGAACAACUUUGGAAACUCAAUGAACCUCUAAUUCUCAUUGAUUUAGGUUACGAUUAUUACUUAGUAAAAGUAACAAACAUUGUUAACUACAAAAACAUACUCCACAACGGACCUUGAUUUAUUGGCUCACAAUAUCUUAUUAUUCACCAAUGGGAGCCAAAAUUUAAUUCACUAAUCUUAGCCUCUCUAUUAUAUGGAUUCGUUUACAAGAAUUACCCACUGAAUAUUAUGACUUGUAAAUUCUAAAAAAAAAUUGCUUCAUGCAUUGGUACCCUGUUAAAAAUUGACACAUCCACAAUUCAUACCACUAGAGGUCGUUAUGCACGUCUCUGCAUCCUCGCACCACUUGAUACACCAUUACCAAAAAUGUGCUAUUAGGCUCAUACCUAUAGCAAAUUUACUACGAAAAUGCUUCUUCCAUUUGCAUUGCCUGUGGAUGCUUAGGCCAUACUAAUUCUCACUGUCCCAAUAUAACACCCAACACACACACGGUUAAUCAAACUGCAUUACCUAAGUCUUUCCCUCCUACACCACCAUUUCUUACCCAAGAUGAAUGGAAAACAGUUUCCUAUAGCAAAUCUACACGUCAUCCAACUAAUAAACAAUAUUUUCCUCCAACUAAAACCACCCUUCAACCCAAAACCACUAAACCUAGAAUGCCAAACCCCAUCUCUCUAUCCAAUAGAUUUGCCUAUACCACUCCAACUGAAAAUUCUGAACUCUAUACACAGACUACCACUAUAGACAUAUCCCUUCCUGUUAACAACUCAAUACCUACUACUACACCUGCUAUGCCACCCGCCACAAUCCCUCCCAGUCAUUACCCUCACAUGCACACAAUGCCUACCAUUUCUAACGAUCCUACACCACCUUCAAAUGAUUUUCUAAAUAAUACCCUCUUUCAUUCCCAUUCAAUACCAGCCAAUACCCAACCCACGCAUCCCCUAAUACGCCGUCAAAAAUACAAAAAUAAUGCUCUCAUUACUAGCUUCCAAAAAAACAAAAACAAAUCAACCAAAAAGACCCCUAAAAUUGAUCAACCAAUUAUAAUGACUAAUACACCUACCAAUUCCAAACAACCAUCAUCAUCAAACUCUAUAUCACCUAUACUACCAUAUACCGCACACUCACUUCACACGCAAAGCCCAUGCAACCAACACUAACAGGCUGCACUGCCACAUGCCACCCCUACCAAUAUUACACCACUUCCCAACAUGCAAACCAUAAACAUAACCAACUUUCCUCACCCUCCAAUUAUCACAUACAAUGAAAACAAUCAUGAACCUAUAACACCUUUCCCUACACCUACUUAUUCCACUCCUUCACUCCCAUACACUUCCGAUGGUAUACAAAAUAAUUACACAUAUUCACCACUGCCACAAGCAAUUUUCACCACCAAUACUCCAAAUCAAUACCGGCCACAUCGCCACUACAUUGACGACUCCUCCAAUCUACAACUUUCCUCCCAUCAACUUCAUCAUCACCCUACCUCUCAUGCAGUCGACCUCUCAAAAAAUUACCAUGACAUUACCCCCGUCAUUUCUUCCAUUACAACAUCACUGACUCUACCGCCUCUCCAACCAACAGUCAUUGCUCCAUCCAACAAUACCUUUACUCAACCCUUAUCCUCAAAUACACUUACACCUAUUCCCAAUACUAACACUAUCACAUCCACUACACUUUCACACAUAGAUUCCCCUACAAUCCAUAAUGGUUCCUCAUCACCACCAACAUCAUCGUCGUCGCCCACACAGGCACCAACGGCACUACCACCAUCACAUGCACAUUGCUCACUACACCCUACCGCCUCCACUUCUUCUUCCAUCCAUUGCACCACUACCACCAGUUCCCAUGUAUCCCCCACCAAACAACUUUUAUCACCCUUACAACUCUCUUCCUGCUCAACCCAACUUCCUCCCACCACCUCAUCUCACUCCUCUCCCACCACUGCCAGACAUCUCCUUAAUGCAACAACAGGCAGCGAUUCUUCUGGACAAUACGGAAGCAUUAACAAACAUCCUUCAACAAGGCAUUUUCAUGCCCAUGAACUACGAAGCUGCCAUACAAAUACUAUAACAACAAGAGAUCACUGCCCUAGAGUUUCAAACACAACUGCUCAACAUUCAUCAAUGGAAUGCUCAUCUCCAACAAUAUUACCACUCUUGGAAUACAUACCAACCUCACAACUGCUUGCCAUGGUUUGUGCCUCAUCACCACCAAGUAGUGGAACCAUCCCACCAACUGUCUCCACGCCAGAAGCAGGUACCAGUCAUAUUCCCACCGCCACCACCACCAUCGCCACCAAUGGAGGAAUUUUAUCAUCACUAACCACAAGAAGAAGAGGCAGAUGCUCCGGAGACGUUCAUAGAAUUACUAACACUGAGCGAAUCAAUCACGAUCGCCAUGCCAGAAAAUAUAGAAAGAAAUUUUUUGAUCUACAUUCCACCGAGUUUUGAAAAGACAUCGUUGAAUAUCUGCCUCGACCCUUACUCCUUGGAGGACAAAUAUGUGGUCCUCAUGAUACCCACACUAAGGGAUACAAUGUUGCCACAGGCACUGUAUCAACCUCCCCACCUGCUCAUGCACCUGGAGCUUUCAGUACCCCCAGAGGGAACCCAACACAACAAUCAUCUUAUGAAGAUCAUGCUAUGGAAUUGUAGGGGAGAAAAUGGUUUGGAAUUCCGUCAGAACCUAUGGGUUCUACUACAAUGAAAUAACUCAUCUAUACUGUGCCUCACAAAGACAAAGAUGCAAGAUCAUAUGUCACUACUUCAACAAUUUGACUUUACUGAUCUCAUACAAGUUACUGCACAUAGACACUCAGGAGGAAUAGUUAUUCUAUGGCGAGCACAUGAACUCACUGUGGAUCCAGUAGCCGUUACCAGUCAAGAAAUCCAUGCGUCUGUUCAGGUUAGCCCAUCUUCUCCCAAAUGGUUUUUAUCAGUUGUUUAUGCUAGUAACCAAUUGUGAGCACGCGAUUUUUGCCCUAUAUGAAUUAUUUCAACAAAUUCAAAACAAAAUAAUUUCUUUCAGUGUUUGCAAUUUUGUUGGAUUUUGUGGCAUUUUCUGUUAAUUUUUUGCAUUUGUUUGUGCACGUUUAUUUUAUUUAAUUCAUGAAAAUACAAAAAUAUCACGCACUUCAUUUAGGAUUUAAUUUUAUAUUUUUUUAGAUUAAUUAGUAAAUUAGUUUGUUUUAUAAGACAUGAAAAUCACAAAAAUAGUUUAUUUUCCACUUUUUAAUUUUAAUUUCGAACUUUGGCAGUUUUCCUUGAAUUUGGUUUUUAAUUAUUUGUGGUAAAUGUUAUUUAGAGUUAAUUAAUGUAAUAGCAUAAUUUGAUUAGCGAUUAAUUUAGGUUUAUUUUUAUUUUUAAAUUUAAAACGAAUUUUGGGAAAAAAGAAGAAGAAGAAAGGGAUUGGAAAUAAGAAAAGGGGUGUUUUGGGCUAACAUUGCCAAGCCCAAAUGCUCCCCCCCAUUAGCUCAUCCAAGCCAGGCCCAAGGUCCUUUGUCUUACCCGGUACAAGUAGCCCAUCACCCAGGCCAUUGAAACGACGUCGUAAGGGAGUGGAACGACGUCGUUUCGAGUUCAGUUUGCCUUAACAAAUCUUGGCCCUUCAUCUUGCUUCAUCCGACGGUCCGGAACUGAUUGGGUCACACCUAUAAAAUUGUCCAAAUGCCUUGCACCCCCCCGGUCUCGUCUCCCCAACCCUUCAUCUCUCAGAGACAAAGGCGAAACCCUAGUAGGCGCCUUCAGACACCACCGCUUUAGGGUGGCGGCGCCACCUCCGUUCGCCACCAAAAUUACACCCCGUGACCACCAAGUCCCCCUCAUUCCAAAUCCCUAACUAUUCGCCUUUGAAUCAUCCUGGAGUCUCUCGAAUUUCAGAUCGAAGUUUAACCUGAAAUCCCGAAAGGAGUUGAUUGGCGAGGUUACUAAAGAUUUGAGGUUGAGAUCGACUUUAGCCGUGUGUUUCCAGGCGAGAACACACGAUUAAGGUCUAUCUCGACCAAAAAAUCAAGGUUUCUUUGAAGACUAGUUCAAGAUUGUGUUCGCCUAGCUUGACAGGUAUCUCUAGUAUUUUUUUCUAUUCCAUUUUUCUUAUCUUCUUCUACUUUUCUUCUUUUUCUUCUGUGUUCUCAAAGUCAUUACUGUAUGUGUUUCUUUUAAGUUAGGAUUAAUGGUUAGUUAUUAGGUUCUUCAGUUUUGUUUGAAUUCGUUAGGUUAGUUUGUUUGGUUGUUCCCUUUAGUCUUGGGCCGAUUGAAAGCAUUUGGUUCGAAAGGCUGAUUAAAAUCCUAAUUGACUUUCCUUCUUCUGCCUUCUCGUUUCUCCUGGACUUCUGACUUGGACCUGGGCCCUAAAAGAAAGGGACUGACCCGAGUUUUCGAAGACCCAUAUCUGGUUCGCCUUAGAUCAGUUCGACUUGUUUGGGUUCUCUUGUUAAUUACAGGGGUUCAAGGGGUAUUUUGGGUAACUAGCUUAGGGAAUCUGGGUGUAACUGCAUUAGGAAACUUCUAGGAAGCUGGGGGUUGGGGUUAUUCUGAUGUUCUGAAUUUUAAAAGAAGGAUACCUAAGCAAAAAUAAAAAUUUCUGAAGGUUUGAAAUGCAAUUGUGAAUUUAAAGCUGCCCUAGUAACUUGCCUAUAAAGGCAUAAGAUACUUGCAGCUCAAGGGGGAUUUUUGGAGAGCUAGAGUUCCAGAAAAUAAAAGACGGACAAAAUUGCUACUGUUUCAUUAAUUUCUUUAUUGAUUUCUAAAAAGUUUCCAGUUCUGAAAUACUUCAUGUUUCAUUUGAGAUUGAGUAUGAAUUGAUUUGGGAUUUAAAACUGCUACGAAGUUGGGUCCUCGGGUUUGUUUUGUACCACUUGGUCUGAGUUGGUUUUCUGCUAAUUUUUCUUGGAUCUGAGAGCUGUGUUAUUAGCUGCUAGCUACUGAUCCUGCUUUGCUUUGGAUUCUGUCUUAUUUACAGGUACACAUUGAGAGGCUUUGUUGUUUUUGAAGUUGGAUUUGAAAGUUGAAAAUGAAAGCAAUAGUUUGAAAUGUAUUAUCAAUUUGCCUUCGACUUUUCUGUAUUGCUUUGGAGUAUUAUGUUUAUUUUAUCAGCUUGUUGUUAUGGAUUAAUCGAUUCAGUUCUGUUUCAAGUUAGGAACUUUGUUAUUUUAAUUGAUUGGGAAAUAUCAUGAAGUUUGAGAGAAAGUAGCUUGUCCGACUGAAUCAACAACUUAGCCUUUGCACUCAUUUGUGAUUUUAUAUAGUGUGUACUGUAAUGCUGUUGGGUUGAAUGGGGUAUGGCUAUAUGGGAUUCAUUGGACUAGCUAUAAGCCAUACGCUUAUCAACUCAUUUAUUCAUGUUGUUAGUCAAAUGAAUCUGGUUUCAUUUAUAUUUCCC
Molecule: long non-coding RNA, 5839 nt
Filed under: Nicotiana tabacum (common tobacco)
Lineage: Eukaryota; Viridiplantae; Streptophyta; Magnoliopsida; Solanales; Solanaceae
Description: long non-coding RNA (NTAB_LNC000857)
Source: RNAcentral